RNAcentral lists this long non-coding RNA (2771 nucleotides) under Mytilus galloprovincialis (Mediterranean mussel). The record is from RNAcentral. Lineage: Eukaryota; Metazoa; Mollusca; Bivalvia; Mytilida; Mytilidae.
CAAUUUGAAAUUUGAAAUGUAUGCUUUAUGUUCUUUCAUUUGAUAUGCGACAACUUUACCAUCUGAGAAAUUUGAAUUUUUGCACUAAAUGACCCCACCCUUCCCCCUGGGAUGAAAAAGAGGUUUAAAAUUUUCAUUUUUAAGCAGAGUUUAUUGAGACCUUCAAUUUGAUAUAUCAGUUGACCCCAUUUGACAAAGUGUCAAAAAUGAUGCAAUAUCAACGAUAUAAAUAGAAGUUAUGAAACUUACAAAGUCAAUGCAAAACAUGAAAAUUUCAAAAUGAUUUUUUGGUGUUUUUUUCCAUGGAAUGUUUUUGGUAUUUGGUCAAACAUAUAAAUAUGUGAACCUCUUCAAUUUCUUUAACAUUUUAAGUGGUAAACUGUUGUUGAUUCAGAAAUAGAUGCCGCCGCUUGCAAAAUUUCAAACUGCAUUAUCUCUAAAACGACAAUAGAUAUCUCAAAUCUGUUAAAUGGUAAAUGAUCUACAGUUAAAUGACAACAUUAUAGAAAAGAGAAUUUGGACAAUUUCAAAGUUCACCAAGGUCACAAUUAACCAUCAACUAUAUGAUGCAAUACAAAACUUAAGAACCGGAAAUCGUAGAGACAUGGGACUAUCACCAUUCAACUCAGGACCACUUGACCUUUCAAAUAUCACAAGGUCAAGGUCAUAGUAUAAUGUGAAGGUCAAGGUGAAAUUUCAUCAUGACCUGACAUUGACCUCAAAUUGAAGGUCUUGAAUUACUGAUCAUCUUUGCAGUUUGUAGUAGGUUGAUAUCUGUUACCUUUAAAAAAGAUAUACACAAAAUACUAUAUUUAUAAGAAUCAUCCCGUUGUAACUUUUGAACAGACGGUCGGACAUUUUUGGGCGAAUUAUAUAAAAUGUAGAGCUCGUCGAGAGGAACAUUUUAUACGCUGUAUGUAGGCAGCCAAGUCUUAUCGUUUUCCUAAUAUGUAAGCUUUAAAUUGACCUUGGGUGCAUAUUGAAGGUCACAUGCAUUAAAGAUUAUUGGUGAAGGUCCCAAGUCUCUACGACUUCCGGUUCUCGAAAUAGAUUUUUUCUAAAAUUGUGUACAAUUUAUCAAGGGAAAUAACUCCUUAUAAGGGUUAAUAACAAAAUAAUUGUAUAUGUUCAUUAACAUUGCUCUCUGUUCCUGUACAUGUUGCCGUUUUCAAAUCGAUUCUAUCUCUAAUACUUUUUAAGAAAAAAUGCAAAGGAAAGAAAUCGUUUCAAGGGGAUAUAACUCUCAUAGGGGAAGAUGAAAUCCUAUUCAGCCUCAUAUGGUAAUACAUCAUGAUGAGACAAAUAAGGUCAUGAUAUCUUUAAAAACAACGAGGGGGGGCUAUGUUGAAAAAAAAUCAAUAAAAGGGAGAUACCUUCAUAAGGGGAUGAUGAAAUCCUUAACAAUGUCAUCUGGUAAUACUUCAUGAUGAGGUCUAUCGAUGGUUACUAUUUGGUAUUCAUAACUUCAAAAUAAACAAGAUGCGGGCAUGUCAAAAAAAUGUUGGAAGAAAAAAAAGAAAAAAAAAAAAAAAACAUUAGAAAAACAAUAAGGUCUUUCCUCGCGUAGAGGAAAGACCUUAAAAAUGACAAAACUUACGAUACCAGGAAUUAAGGUGGUAUGGGAGUCUAAAAUAAAAAUGAUAGAAUUUGUUCAUACUUUGCCAAAACGUUGUAUCUAUUGAUAUAUGUUGAAAAAUAUAAUAAAAAUGAUAGGUCACCGCGCAUUUUCUCAAGCUACAGGACUGGACAAAAUGACACAUUUUGUAUGGAUUAAACAGGAAAAAACACCAUUUUGUAAUUAGAAACUAAACAAAAUGAUAGAAUUGUUAAAUACUUCAGGAAAAGAUAGCUUUCAGACACUGCUUUGAGAAUAUCAAAAGAAAAGAUAGGGUCACCGUACGUUUUUUCCGGCUAAAAUACAAAAUAGGAAAAUUCCAUACAGAAUCCUUCAAAAAAUGCACUUUUUUAGAGUUACCUCCCCUUAAAAUGCCAAUUUGAAAAAAAAAUAAAAACAACCAAAAAUAAUUAACAUUUGCAAAAAUAUCAAUAUUUAGAAGUUAUAUUCUUAUAAAUUGGUACUUUUAAAUGAAAAUAUACAUUAAACAUCUGCAUUCCUGCAUCAAAUUUUCUCACUUGAUGGAAAAUCUGGACCUUUGAUUCUCUGUUUUUUACAAUCCAAGAUGGAGGAAGACACCCAUACCACCUUAAAGUAAACAAAACAGAUGUAAAUAUUAAGUAUACACCUUAUGGUGAUACCCAACACCUUCACUAAAAUUAAUUUGAUUCGUUUAAUUUUCAUAAAAUUUUGACAAAGCAUUUACUUUGACUCUUUGACAAAAACAUAAAAAAAAUAAAAAAAUUGAACCAACCAUUUUAUCAGAAAAAUGCAAUGGUUACAUAGCAGUUUGACAAACAAUAAUUUUGAUCAUUGAGAAGCUAAAUAUUUCCUUAACAACACAACGUGAAUAAAUGUUUAGCUGAUUUUACAGAGUUAUAUCCCUGUAGUGUUAGGUAACACCUUCAUUGACAUAUAAAAGAUAUGAAUCAGAUCAGCAAGAUAUGCAGUAUAAAAUGUUAUUAAAAAAAAUCCUAAAAAUUGCUUGACACAUUCGAGACAUGUGAAUAAUAGCAACAACUGUUUGAAGGCAUCACCUUGUAAGAGCCACAUACAUUUUCAAUUUUGUGUUGCUCAUGGUUUAUUUCUAAAUAAUUUCUAAAAGUUACUGGAUAUUGUAUCAGAAAAAUACAGGGGUGGCUUCAUUCCCCCCCUU